GCGUCGAGCGGCGGACGGGUGAGUAAUGCCUAGGAAAUUGCCCUGAUGUGGGGGAUAACCAUUGGAAACGAUGGCUAAUACCGCAUGAUGCCUACGGGCCAAAGAGGGGGACCUUCGGGCCUCUCGCGUCAGGAUAUGCCUAGGUGGGAUUAGCUAGUUGGUGAGGUAAGGGCUCACCAAGGCGACGAUCCCUAGCUGGUCUGAGAGGAUGAUCAGCCACACUGGAACUGAGACACGGUCCAGACUCCUACGGGAGGCAGCAGUGGGGAAUAUUGCACAAUGGGCGCAAGCCUGAUGCAGCCAUGCCGCGUGUGUGAAGAAGGCCUUCGGGUUGUAAAGCACUUUCAGUCGUGAGGAAGGUAGUGUGUUUAAUAGAUGCAUUAUUUGACGUUAGCGACAGAAGAAGCACCGGCUAACUCCGUGCCAGCAGCCGCGGUAAUACGGAGGGUGCGAGCGUUAAUCGGAAUUACUGGGCGUAAAGCGCAUGCAGGUGGUUUGUUAAGUCAGAUGUGAAAGCCCGGGGCUCAACCUCGGAAUAGCAUUUGAAACUGGCAGACUAGAGUACUGUAGAGGGGGGUAGAAUUUCAGGUGUAGCGGUGAAAUGCGUAGAGAUCUGAAGGAAUACCGGUGGCGAAGGCGGCCCCCUGGACAGAUACUGACACUCAGAUGCGAAAGCGUGGGGAGCAAACAGGAUUAGAUACCCUGGUAGUCCACGCCGUAAACGAUGUCUACUUGGAGGUUGUGGCCUUGAGCCGUGGCUUUCGGAGCUAACGCGUUAAGUAGACCGCCUGGGGAGUACGGUCGCAAGAUUAAAACUCAAAUGAAUUGACGGGGGCCCGCACAAGCGGUGGAGCAUGUGGUUUAAUUCGAUGCAACGCGAAGAACCUUACCUACUCUUGACAUCCAGAGAACUUUCCAGAGAUGGAUUGGUGCCUUCGGGAACUCUGAGACAGGUGCUGCAUGGCUGUCGUCAGCUCGUGUUGUGAAAUGUUGGGUUAAGUCCCGCAACGAGCGCAACCCUUAUCCUUGUUUGCCAGCGAGUAAUGUCGGGAACUCCAGGGAGACUGCCGGUGAUAAACCGGAGGAAGGUGGGGACGACGUCAAGUCAUCAUGGCCCUUACGAGUAGGGCUACACACGUGCUACAAUGGCGCAUACAGAGGGCGGCCAACUUGCGAAAGUGAGCGAAUCCCAAAAAGUGCGUCGUAGUCCGGAUUGGAGUCUGCAACUCGACUCCAUGAAGUCGGAAUCGCUAGUAAUCGUGGAUCAGAAUGCCACGGUGAAUACGUUCCCGGGCCUU
RNAcentral lists this ribosomal RNA (1298 nucleotides) under Vibrio natriegens. RNAcentral's name for it is "bacterial SSU rRNA". It matches the Rfam family "Bacterial small subunit ribosomal RNA", at positions 88 to 1382 of the family's 1533-position model. Lineage: Bacteria; Pseudomonadati; Pseudomonadota; Gammaproteobacteria; Vibrionales; Vibrionaceae. The record is from RNAcentral.